Pan troglodytes (chimpanzee) is the source of this 5810-nucleotide long non-coding RNA. RefSeq lists it as uncharacterized. The record is from RefSeq and is a predicted model, not a curated record. Lineage: Eukaryota; Metazoa; Chordata; Mammalia; Primates; Hominidae. The transcript has 4 exons.
CAGGUUCAAGUAAUUCUCCUGCCUCAGCCUCCCGAGUAGCUGGGAUUACAGGCACCCGCCAUCAUGCCUGGCUAAUUUUUGUAUUUUUAGUAGAGUCAGGGUUUCAACAACUCCUGACCUCAGGUGAUCCAUCCUCCUCAGCCUCCCAAAGUGGAUUACAGUCAUGAGCCAUCGCGCCUGGCCGCAAGCUAUUAUUCUUGACAUGUUUCUUCUUCGGAAGCCAUAAAGUGGUGAUGAUGCCACCUUUUCAGCUACAUAUGAGGUAAGGAAGUCUUUAUGUUUCUAGGAAUCACAAGAGGUUUCUGUCAAAGGAAAUGAAGGAGAGUCCCUACUGUGUUUUAGUAGCUCUCUACUGGUGGCUAUCAGGACACCUUCCAGAGUGGGCUGUGAGGCCUUGCUGGUCUCACUACAGUGAGGGAAAGAACACUGCUUCCUUCUGAAGCCUGGGACAAAUGCAGCUAUCACAGCCUGCCCUUCUACAAUCACUCAACACUGUGGUACAUGUGAUAGACCUAACUUAGUGCCAUGCCAAGCCUGAUGGGAAUCUCCUGUAAUUUUUGUAAGGAGAGCUUUUUAGUCAGGGUUCAGCCCAGAACAGAAACUGCCCAAAUAUUUUUAAGAAGAAACAGAGUUACUAUACAGUAACUGCCUCUUAUCAUGCUCAGUCUUCAUGAGCUCAGUGCCCAGAGCUUUGAUGCUUCUGCCUCACUUCUGCUCUCCAAAUCUCAUGCAAGCACAUCUAAUUGGCAGAAAAUAAUUUGCAUCCAGCUCCCUAGCUGCAAAGAUUAUCUGGGAAAUGUAGUUUUUAGCCUUCUAGCCUCUGUAGUACAGGAAGGCCCACUGGAAGGAAAUGCUGGGUGCCCAGAGACCAUAUCCAGCCACAUUUUCCUUUAUUCAAACAUUUGACCGGAGAUCACUAGUACUGGUAACAUCUGCCAACAUUAUUUCUCAUGAGGGUUAUGAAAAACACUGAAAAGGCACAAGGGACAAUGUACACUAUAACCACGUGGGGCUCCUAUCUUCCUGUAUUUCUUCCUAUCCAGAGAUGGAUGGAUUGUGGACUCUAUGAUUCAGAACUGAUGUUUAGAGAAUAAAAAUAGUAAUAGUCACAAAUGAUUAAUGGCUGAAAUCCUGUUUCAGGAUUUAGACACAAGAACUGCUCCACCGAGAGAGUCUCCUUGGGGAAAGGGGCAUAUUUAGAAACAUGCCAUGUUAGGAGAACCUUAGAAAUCAUCAGUUUAGCAUUUUCCAAAGUUUGCCAAAAACUUUUUAGAUCCACAUGAUGCUUUAUCAAAAACAAAGGGAUUCAGUGAUCAAAUAAGUUUGGGAAACAGUGCAUAUCCCCAUCCUGAAGAACCACGGUGCACAUCAGCAUAUCAGAGGCUCUAGGAAGUCCUGUGGUAAGGGAUCUGCUUAACUUUGGUCCACUGGUUUCCAAAUGUAUCUGGCCCUAGAACCUUUCCUUUUUUACACAAUGCCUGUUAACCUUCUGAGGAAUUGGAGUUCGACGGGACAUGUGCUGUGAGGACUGGAUCUAAUACCAACUCCUCUUUUUCCAUAUGAGGAAGCUGAGGUCCAAGGCAAUGAGGUUAUUUGCCUGUGAUCACAGAAAUCCUGGGCAGUACAGGUGGGAAUAAAACCAGAGUUUUUUCUUCUUCCUCACAUGGCCUUAUCAAAAUUAAUUGUCCUCCCUUACAUCUCUCGGCAUCAUCAGUAAGGUAACAGCUACUAAGAGAUGGGCUACUUAAGGAAAAUCAUACUUUAAAUAGUACCCCACCAACAUGGAAGGAUUCUUUUACCUGUGGGGUCCCACAACCAACUUAUCACAAAGGAAAAAUGGGGAGAACAGUCACUUAGCCUAUGUUUACUCCUAAAUGAUCAGUGUUUUCAGACCAGCUGGGAUAUUCUUAGACUCAUCUUUCUGUCAACCAAAUCACAGACCAUCACAAAAUGACACCAAGAAUACUAGUUAUCUAGAAUACUAGUUAUCUAUUACUGCAAAAUAAAUGAUCCUGAAACCUAAAACAAUAAACCUUUGUUAUGUCUCAGUUUCUGUGGGAAUCUUGGAGUGGCUUAGGUGUGUGGUUCUGGUGCAGCCUUUUGUGAGGUCACAGACAGAGUGUCAGCCAGGGAUGCAGUCAUCUGAAGACUUGACUGGGGCUGGAGAACCUCCUCUCAAGGCAACUCCCACACAAGCCUAGGAAGUUCAUUCUGGCUGUUGGCAAGGGGCUUCUGUUCCUUGCCAUGUGGACUGCUUGCCAUAGGCUGCUUGAGUGGCCUCAUCACAGACAUGGUGGUUGGCUUUCCCCAGAGUGAGUAAUCUGAGAGAGAGAGCAAGGAGGAAGCCUUGGUGCCUUUUAUGACCCCAGUCUCAGAAGUCACAUACCAUCAAUUCUGCCAUAGUCUGUCUUUAUUUAGAAGUGAGCCAUCAUAUCCCACUCACACUCAAGGGGAGAAGAGUUAGUUUCUCCCUUUUGAAGGGGGAAGUGUCAAAGAAUUUGUGGAUGUAUUUUAAAACCACCACACCAAGAAAGAGUUGCAAGGGGGAAGGAUGCUAAUUAAAUGACAAAUAACAACAAACAAACAAGAAAGGCUGGGUGCAGUGGCUCAUGCCUGUAUCCCAGUGUUUUGAGAGACCUAGGUGGGAGGAUUGCUUGAGGCCAGGAGUUUGAGACCAGCCUGGGCAACACAGGGAGACCCCAUCUCAAAAAAAAAAAAAAAAAAAAAAAAGCCGGGCAUGGUGGCUCGUGCCUGUAGCCCCAGCUAUUUGGAGGCUGAGGUGGGAGGAUAGCUUGAACCCAGGAGUUUGAGGCUUCAGUGAGCCAUGAUUGCACCACUGUACUCUAGCCUGUGCAACAGAGCAAGACCCUGUCUAAAAAAACAAAAAACACCCAAGAAACAUUUUGAGGGUAAAAAUCCAUUUAGAACAAGAACAAUACUAAACAGAAACUCUGAAAGAGACCAGGAAUUUAAAUUUACGUGGGACUUGAUGCCCAACCUGAAUCAUUGGCAUAAACAUCCUUGAACUUCUUUGUAAAACAAACUUCUGAAUAAAAGAACUUCUGAGAGAAAACUUCUAUUGCUGGCACUGUGACUAGGGGAGUAGAUGAAGGAUUUGAAUCAAGGAUAAGCAAUUCAGAGGGCAUAUCCAGUGGUUUGACUUGUAUCCUUCUAAGUUAACUUUUCCUUUCUCAAGACUUUCAAUUUUCUAAAUGUUCAAUAUCCCAACAUGACCAAAAGGGUCAAAUUCCAGCUCUAGUCUUCACAUCUUUUUUUUUUUUUUCCUUCUGAAGGUUUAUAUUCAUUUCCCUACGCUGUCUGAAAGAAGAUACCAUGAUCUAAUUGCCUAAGAAUUUAUUUCCAAAUAGUUGUUGACAGAGCCUGGAAGUCUCAGAAAGAUCAGAUGGAUCGUAUUCCUUCCUUUACUCAAGAGUUUUUUUUUUUUUUUAAUUAAAACAAAAAACCCAGCAACAACUAUGAUCCCUAAAGAACUUUCCUUUGUGGCACCUGGAGUAUUCAGUCAAUCAACAAGCUUUUCCUGGACAUAUGAUGGAGAUGAGACGUUCUCUAGGACUCAUAUUGGAAGCUAAACAGAAAACAGAUGCAGAUAAAUACAAUAAUCACAAAAGUGGGAUUGAGAAAGAGAGAGAGGAAUGGGGCUGAGGCUACAUCUAGGCAGCUGUGUGCAAUGAGGUGGAUUUAUUAAGGAAAAUGUUCCAGAAAAGAUGAACUUAAAGCUAUUCUAAAUAUUUGGGGGAAACUUGAGCAAAAGUUUGGAGAGAAAAGAAUGAAGACUGAAUUUUUAGGUCAUCAAAGAGAUGAGCAAGGGGUGGGCUGGAAUAUAGUAGGAGAUGAGGCUGGAAGGGGAGGGUGGAGACAGUGAUUAAGAUGGUUUUGAACAAACUGAUCUGCAAAGAGUUUGGUGUGGUUGGAGCAAUUAUAGGUUGGUGCAAAAGUAAUUGUGGUUUUUGCAAUUAAAAGUAAUGGCAAAACCGCAAUUACUUUUGCACCAACCUAAUAUUUUUGCGAGAGGAAAAAUUUUUUCAGUAUACUGUCUCCCAAACCAAACCAAACAAAAACAAACAAACAAAAAAGCCCAAACCAAAAAAAUCUUUGCUCAUUAAUAGAGACUCUUAGAAAGCCAGACCUUUAUAGGAAGAUGUGGGUUUAAGAUCUUUCACCACCUUCUUGAGCAACAUCCUGUUACCAUCAAGACUGAAGGUCAACCAACUGCCCAUGGAGGGAAGGCUUGAGAAAGCUUUUGCUGUGCCAAAAGGGGGAACUAUUUCUCCUGGAACAGAGUGGACAAAUGUGCAGCAGGUGAACAGAAUCAUAUUUGCUUUCCAGCUGUUGCACCAGCUGUGUCAUGCUGACAGUGGCCUCCACCUGUCUAACUCCUGCUUCCACCAAUUCAGAACCAAGAUAUUUUUAUACUCAUAUCCUGGUAUAAACCAACUGCUGAUGGAAGUUCUUUGAUGAUGAAUUUGGAAUCAAAUACAUUCUACUUUCUGGAAAUCCAUAUACUGGGUGGCUGCUUCAAUAGCAGCAGACACGAGAUGUAAAAUGCAGCAAUGGUCAAGGAAUUUCUCAGGGGAGGAAUCAAUCCUCUCAUUUUGGUGGAGGAACCUUGGAUACAGGGAGGAUGAGGGACUGACUCAAAGUCAUCUGGCAACUUAGAGACGAGGCCAGAGCUCCUCAAAUCUCCUAGCUCUGAAUCCAUGUUCUUUUUAUUGAGCGGGUCAUGACAUAACCCCCCAAAUGAGUGCAGCUUUUAAUCUCCCACAUCAAGGAGCCUGCUGUCUGCAGACUCAUGCAUACACAUCACGGUGGUUUCUGGGUGGUUGAUGCUCAUCACCCUCUGACUUCAUUUCUUUUUUCCUUUGCAAAAUGGCUAUUGCCCAGAGGCAGCAUCUCUUUUCUAAAAAGUGAACAUGCCAGAAGGGUUUUUGGAAACUGCCUUGCUAUCUGUCAGGAGCCAGAUGAUUCACAGGGAUGAACCAAUGUACAUAACAAGGAUACCUGAUUGGAUUACCAAUUAGCCGUCUCCACCUCUGCAGGGUGGUUGGAAAGAAGAGAAAAGGCAGUGUUUAGUUUGGGCAAAUACCAAAAGGACUUUAUCAUUCUCAUCAAGGCAUCAGCGUGGCACAUUAGACCUCUUCCAAGCCAUUCCACUGGAACUUCUCUCUCCAAAUGCUCCAGCAAGAGUAAACUUGUUAUGCAAACAUUGGAUCAUUGUGUCUGAGCUACAGAAGCACCUCUGUGUCGGUGAAAGGGGAGAAACUGGCUGACUUGCGUCUGUUUUUAAUGAUGUCGCUGCUGCUGGGAAAAUUUGGAAGCUGCAGGGGUGAUUAUUCUGGAGCCAGUGGCAGAUGCUACAGGAGGGAAGAGGCAUCUUUCAGCAGGAAGCGCCUGUAACAAGUGGCCGCUUCUGGCCUUGUGGAGUUUCACGUUCCUUUGUUUAUCUUUAAAAACAGGAUGAGAAUGAGAAUAUAUUAAUUGCAGGUUUAUUAAAGGCUCCAAGUACAACGUCUCAGGACCUGCUCCAAUGGAGCACACUCAGAAAAAGGAGUGCAGGCAAAUUGCUCUUUCUCCCCUUUGCUGCCUUGGUGCCUAUUUAACACUGUUGACAGCCACCAGAGCAGUUCCUACAUUUUACCGACACCGUCAAACAAGUAGCAGGUUAUUGAUCAGGACUUGCAAGGAAACUUCAUCCUCCUAAUCUCUGGCUAAAAGGGUAACAGAUAAUUUAUAAUUCUCUCUCCUUUUCUAUAUUUUUCUAAUUUGUAUAAAACCCUAUAUUAUGGUUUGAA